RNAcentral lists this ribosomal RNA (456 nucleotides) under uncultured Thauera sp. RNAcentral's name for it is "bacterial SSU rRNA". It matches the Rfam family "Bacterial small subunit ribosomal RNA", at positions 923 to 1382 of the family's 1533-position model. Lineage: Bacteria; Pseudomonadati; Pseudomonadota; Betaproteobacteria; Rhodocyclales; Zoogloeaceae. The record is from RNAcentral.
GCACAAGCGGUGGAUGAUGUGAUUAAUUCGAUGCAACGCGAAAACCUUACCUACCCUUGACAUGUCUGGAACCUUGCUGAGAGGCGAGGGUGCCUUCGGGAGCCAGAACACAGGUGCUGCAUGGCUGUCGUCAGCUCGUGUCGUGAGAUGUUGGGUUAAGUCCCGCAACGAGCGCAACCCUUGUCAUUAGUUGCCAUCAUUUAGUUGGGCACUCUAAUGAGACUGCCGGUGACAAACCGGAGGAAGGUGGGGAUGACGUCAAGUCCUCAUGGCCCUUAUGGGUAGGGCUUCACACGUCAUACAAUGGUCGGUACAGAGGGUUGCCAAGCCGCGAGGUGGAGCAAAUCGCAGAAAAUCAUCCGUAGUUCGGAUUGGAGUCUGAAACCCGACUCCAUGAAGGUGGAAUCGCUAGUAAUCGCGCAUCAGCAUGGCGCGGUGAAUACGUUCCCGGGCCUU